This 274-nucleotide ribosomal RNA is filed under the name uncultured bacterium. RNAcentral describes it as "partial 16S ribosomal RNA". It matches the Rfam family "Bacterial small subunit ribosomal RNA", at positions 523 to 796 of the family's 1533-position model. The record is from RNAcentral.
AUACGGAGGGUGCAAGCGUUAAUCGGAAUUACUGGGCGUAAAGAGUACGUAGGUGGUUUAUUAAGUCAGAUGUGAAAGCCCCGGGCUCAACCUGGGAACUGCAUUUGAAACUAGUAAGCUAGAGUAUGGUAGAGGGGGGUAGAAUUUCUAGUGUAGCGGUGAAAUGCGUAGAUAUUAGAAGGAAUACCAGUGGCGAAGGCGGCCCCCUGGACCAAUACUGACACUGAGGUACGAAAGCGUGGGUAGCGAACAGGAUUAGAAACCCCAGUAGUCC